Molecule: ribosomal RNA, 468 nt
Filed under: uncultured bacterium
Lineage: Bacteria
Description: partial 16S ribosomal RNA
Rfam family: Bacterial small subunit ribosomal RNA
Source: RNAcentral
GACGAACGCUGGCGGCGUGCUUAACGCAUGCAAGUCGAACGGAAAGGCCCUGCUUUUGUUGGGUGCUCGAGUGGCGAACGGGUGAGUAACACGUGAGUAACCUGCCCUUGACUUUGGGAUAACUUCAGGAAACUGGGGCUAAUACCGGAUAGGAGCUCCUGCUGCAUGGUGGGGGUUGGAAAGUUUCGGCGGUUGGGGAUGGACUCGCGGCUUAUCAGCUUGUUGGUGGGGUAGUGGCUUACCAAGGCUUUGACGGGUAGCCGGCCUGAGAGGGUGACCGGCCACAUUGGGACUGAGAUACGGCCCAGACUCCUACGGGAGGCAGCAGUGGGGAAUAUUGCACAAUGGGCGGAAGCCUGAUGCAGCAACGCCGCGUGCGGGAUGACGGCCUUCGGGUUGUAAACCGCUUUCGCCUGUGACGAAGCGUGAGUGACGGUAAUGGGUAAAGAAGCACCGGCUAACUACGUG